CAAAGUCAGGGAAAACUAGAGUGAAUAUAAUAAAGGGAAGGAGGGAGGCAGGCAACAGAGGGCGGGCUGGAACUAAAACAGGAGUGAAGCGGAUUUUGGGAGGGGACAUGGAAUUGCUCAGUGUGACUUUCAAGUACCAUUUCCACCCCCUUCUGCAAGGGAUUGAGAUGGUCAUGGGAGAAGAACGCCUCAUCAGUGGGGGCUCCUCAGGGCCAGCAUCCAACACAGCAGAUCUUUACUUCCUGCUGCAAACUGGCUCUGACCAGACCUGCCCCAGUGCUGCCUACCCAAUUCCAAAGGUCACCGGUCCCCACUACCUCAUAGCGUCAUCCAGAUGCACACCCACCCGCUCACCAGGUGCUGGCACCCUCAGCACCCACUCUCCUCAGAAACCUACAUUGGAGUCGAGGGGUGGGCCCCCCUCCUUCACCCAAGUCAGAGCCACUACGUCCCAGCAUAUCUGCUAAGAUAUUUUAGCAACAGAUACAGCCAUGGCAGGGAGGGCAGGCAUGCGGGGACUAGUCUGGCCUCUGCACCAACUGUCUUGGCUCACUUUCCCACGCUUCCCAGCAAGAAACCAGCCUGUAGAGAGUGGGCUGCAUGUAGGCUGUGCACCCAACGUUACAAGGAAGAUAUAGGCACUGUCUGAAGAACAGACAUGGGGUGCAGGGACAGGAAGUCUGUGCUGCAUUUCUUCCUCCUGCUGAUGUCCCCCAACCCAUUGCACCCUGCUAUUCCAACCCUGGGCUCCACAUAUGCCCCUCAAACCCAAUAUACAGCAAACCCAGUUACUCCAAUGCACGGAUCUCUAAAACAGAGGCCUUCCAGUCAUUUCACUUGUGACAGUAAAACCAAGCCAGGCUUGCUCGUUUUAGCAGGUCUUAUUCCUUUAUCAUCCAAGACCUCUUUAGAUAUACAAUAGCUUCCUUGGCUUCAGUUCUUAUCAAGCACUACAGCACAGAGAGGACUUUGAGCCCAGCAAGAGAUUUUUAGUUUGCUUUGGAGACUGUCUGAAUUGCAUUUUAACAUCUGGUGGCCUCCGCCCUGUAAUCUUCCUUCACCAAUAAAAAAAAAAAAUCCAGUUCUACUGCUGGGCACAUGCUAAGCAGAGCAGACAAGACAACGAUAUGCACGCACACACCCAUACCCACCAGCACUUGCCUCCUCUCCCAACACACAAAUCAGUUUGCUUUAUCUUCCAGCACUCAUCCUAGUCCAGAUGGGUUGCAAUGCAGCAAGCUGAUAGGUACCUGCAAAACCUAACAGGCCUGCUGGGCUUUUGCAAGAGUGUGGGGGAGGGAGAUCCCAACAUAAGCUAGAAAGUAUCCAGAGCCCAGCUACUGGCAUCAUGCAAUAUCAAGAUCUUUUUUUAAAAAAGCUUAAACUAAAGUCUUAUUUUUCAAGCCUUCAUGAUUAAGAAAACCUUUGAUCUGCAUCUUGAUGCAGCGACACCUGUCUCAGUCCACAGAGAGCCUGACGCAUGCAAGUUUUCUUAUGGCUUGCCAAAGUGGUCUUAGUGCCCCCACCCACACACUUCAGUGGGGGAAUACUCCCUCCUCCAGGAUGGAUCCCUUUUUCACAUGUAAACUGGGUCAUGGGUUUGGGGUAAGAAAGAGGCCCCAGUCUGUCCAGAGAUGAGUGAUUGCAGGCGGCCUGCUAGCCCCAAAUGGUUGGCGUGAGUGACUUUCCACUGCUACUCUAAGCAAAGGUGAGGGCUAGGCCCCAGCAUUUAUGGUAUACUGGGGCAAAGCGGGGUGGGGGUGGGGGGGCAUAGAGCUGUACUUAGAGAGACUGCAAGCCAAAAAACUUUGAGACAGGGCAGCGCUGCUAACUUGACAAACCUCCCACCCUCCGCUAUCUAAUGGCCAAGGACUGCCCUGAGGUGCUAGCCAGUGAAACACAGGGAACCAGCUCUUUCUCCAAGGAUUGAGCAUAAUCACACCCUUUGGGUCCCCAUAUGCAAAGGGGCUUCUCAAAGCCAUUGCCAGAGCUUCUAACCUAUUUGUUUUGCUUCUCCAGUGUUAGUUUCCUGAGCAAAAUUUUGUCCUGUGCUCCAUCCUGGAGAAAAAGCCACCCCGUCUCCAAAGACCACAUAUUUAGAGGUCUGCCACCCAAUUCCAGAAGUGUCAUUACUACACAGCUACUCCUUGUCUUUUCAUAGCAAAUUUGUGACAACAGCUCCACACCUUUCCUCCCUUGGCAUCUGCUGCCUUGUUAGCCAUGUGUAAUAGGUAGUUUUCAAAGCAGAAAGAAGGACAGUCCAAUAGUCAAGGGAUGAGCCUAGGCUUGGGAGCCCUGCGUUUGAGUCCCUCCUCCUCUACAGACUUCCUGUCCGGACCUUGGGUGAGAUUUCUCUUUAUUGUACAGGAGGGAACGGAGGCAGAGCAGGUAACAGUGCCAUCCUGCAUCGGAGGAGUUGCAAGGAUGACGUAUUUACAAGAUUGUGAGGUGCACAAAAUACGAUGGUAAGGAGGUACCUAAAAGAUAUUGCAGCCUUCUGCCUAGCUGCCAUGUUAGGCCCAACUGAACAGCCAUCUGCUGUCACUGGCAUGAUCUGCACAAGAACAUUCUUAGCAAGCCCAUGUCCUUUGGGAGUCUGGUUUUAACAGAUGCAUUUAGCCUGUUCUUUAGUUCCUAACUUAAUGCCGUGAACAGAAUGGUUACGAGUACGUUGUAUAAGUUAUGGGCAUGUAGCAGUAAUGAGGCAGUUUCCUUCCUGUCUCCUUCACCUUAGAGCCUGUGAGACACAAAGAGAAGGGGGUAAAAAUUCAGUUCCUCGCCCACUGUGUCCUUAUUCCUGUGCUAUACCCAGUCAUGUUGGGCUUCUCCAAGACUCAGCCAGGCACUUUUUUGACCAAAAUGACAGUCCCAGUGUUUUCCACGCAGUAGCCCACCAAAAAGGUCAGACCUGCCAUUACAUUGAGGGAAAGGGAUGGGGCUGUGACAUCCUGAAAGCUAGAAUCCCACCUCCGCUCAGGGGGAGAGCCAGAACUGCAGAGAGGUCAGUGUUCCCAGUCAGCCAGAGGGCACUUAACAAGAUAGUGCCUUUGCUUCCUUCUACUCACGGUGGAAUAUAUCUGUAUGAGCAGCAUUUCAGACGACGCAGACACCCACAUGUCAGUCUGGUUCACUUGUUCAGGCUCAGCCUUGAGGACCAGACUGCAUCAAACACACAGUCCACCAGAUCAGGCCUGUCAAGUAUCCAUGACUAAUGGAUAUAAACAGCGCCACGCUGGCACAAGUACUCCCCAAUCAGAAACAAGGUACAAUCUUCCUCCAGAUGAGUGUAUGUAACAUGGAACCUUGGCAGACCAAGUGUUCAUGGCUAUUACCCUUUUAUCACAGUAGCGCCUUGGAGCCCUGUUGUGCUAGGUCAGGAGUGUG
Chelonoidis abingdonii (Abingdon island giant tortoise) is the source of this 3384-nucleotide non-coding RNA. The record is from RefSeq and is a predicted model, not a curated record. Lineage: Eukaryota; Metazoa; Chordata; Testudines; Testudinidae.